CAGCAGGCGCGAAAAUUGUCCACUCUUUUGAGAGGAGACAGUUAUGAAACGUGAGUAGAAGGGUCGAGUGUAAAAACCUUGACGUGAAGCAAUUGGAGGGCAAGUUUUGGUGCCAGCAGCCGCGGUAAUUCCAACUCCAAGAGUGUCUAUGGUGGAUGCUGCAGUUAAAGGGUCCGUAGUCGUAGAUGCAAUUAAAAGGUGGUGUUAAAAGCCAUUGAGUUUGUUGAGAGUAGCGGAACGGAUAGGGAGCAUGGUAUAGGUAGGCAAAGAAUGAAAUCUCAAGACCCCACCUGGACCAACGGAGGCGAAAGCGAUGCUCUUAGACGUAUCUGGGGAUCAAGGACGAAGGCUAGAGUAUCGAAAGUGAUUAGACACCGCUGUAGUUCUAGCAGUAAACUAUGCCGACAAUGCUGGGUGUUGCGAGAGCGAUGCUUGGUGUGGGAGAAAUCUUAGUUUUCGGGCUCUGGGGAUAGUACGCUCGCAAGGGUGAAACUUAAAGCGAAAUUGACGGAAGGACACUACCAGGAGUGGAUUGUGCUGCUUAAUUUAACUCAACGCGGGAAAACUUACCAGGGUCAAGUCUAUCGUAGAUUGGAGACAUGAGGUAGACAAGAGUGGUGCAUGGCCGUUGGAAAUUGAUGGGGCGACUUUUAGCUUAAGUGCUGGAACCAGUGAGAUCUUCUAGACAGGUGUUAUUUAGGCACAGGAGGGAGAAGGCAAUAACAGGUCCGUGAUGCCCUUAGAUAUCCUGGGCAGCAAGCGCAAUACAAUAUCUCUU
RNAcentral lists this ribosomal RNA (778 nucleotides) under Ecytonucleospora hepatopenaei. Its description in RNAcentral is "SSU rRNA". It matches the Rfam family "Microsporidia small subunit ribosomal RNA", at positions 285 to 1067 of the family's 1311-position model. The record is from RNAcentral. Lineage: Eukaryota; Fungi; Microsporidia; Enterocytozoonidae.